UACGUAGGGGGCUAGCGUUGUCCGGAUUUAUUGGGCGUAAAGAGCGUGUAGGCGGCUAGAUAGGUCCGUUGUGAAAACUCGAGGCUCAACCUCGAGACGCCGGUGGAAACCAUCUAGCUAGAGUCCGGAAGAGGAGAGUGGAAUUCCUGGUGUAGCGGUGAAAUGCGCAGAUAUCAGGAAGAACACCCGUGGCGAAGGCGGUUCUCUGGGACGGUACUGACGCUGAGACGCGAAAGCGUGGGGAGCGAACAGG
Molecule: ribosomal RNA, 253 nt
Filed under: uncultured bacterium
Lineage: Bacteria
Description: partial 16S ribosomal RNA
Rfam family: Bacterial small subunit ribosomal RNA
Source: RNAcentral